RNA transcript from Papaver somniferum (opium poppy), 1806 nucleotides. RefSeq lists it as uncharacterized. Lineage: Eukaryota; Viridiplantae; Streptophyta; Magnoliopsida; Ranunculales; Papaveraceae. The transcript has 13 exons. The record is from RefSeq and is a predicted model, not a curated record.
CCCCAAAACAAAUUUCCACUACACUGACAUAACGAAAUCAGAUCUCAGCGACUCCUCUCUCUCUCACUACACAAUACUCCUUCAGCUAACACAUCUGUGGUUGCAGUGAUGUGACUUUUGUGAUUGCGAACUACUUAGCCCGUCAUUUCCCCCAUCAAAUUGUUAUCUCUUCCUGCAUCUCUAACAAUCUCAAUUAGUCCUACAAACCAUUCUUGAUUCAAAUCAGUUUACUUUUCUGUUUCUGCAUUUCUUGAUUUUGAUUUCAUUUCUCCAAGUGUAUUUGUUUAAAUCUGUCCUCUUCUCUCUAUGAUGAAAAGCCGUACCGUCUCCAUGGUAGUUCACCACCUCAAUUUGAUUACCAAUUUUCGUUUGUUGCAGUUUUCAGUAUGGCACAGCGUCCCCAAAUUGCAGUUUUAGGUGCGGGUAUAUUUGUUCGAACUCAAUAUCUUCCUAGACUUUAUGAGAUCUCUGAUAUUAUGAUUCUCAAGACAAUUUGGAGUCGAACUGAGGAAUCUGCAAAAGCUGCUGUUGACCUUGCUCGCCAGAAUUUCCCAGAAAUAGAAUGUAAAUGGGGCGAUGCUGGUCUUGAGGACAUUAUUAAAGAUACUUCAAUUUCUGGUGUUGCAGUUGUUCUUACUGGACAAAUUCAGGUUGACAUGUCAUUGAGGAUGCUAAAGGCAGGGAAGCAUGUUUUCCAAGAGAAACCAGCUGCAUCCUCUGUUAGUGAGGCUGAGACUGCAAUCUCACACUACAAAUCUUUGGGUGCCAAUUCUCUUUCUCAUCGACCCAUAUGGGCUGUUGGAGAAAAUUAUCGGUUUGAGCCUGCUUUUGUGGAGUGCAAGAACCUUCUGAAAGAAAUUGGUGACAUGAUGAGCGUUCAAAUAAUGGUUGAGGGAUCGAUGACCAGUUCAAAUCCUUACUUCUCAAGUUCUUGGAGGCGCAAUUUUACAGGUGGUUUCAUUUUGGAUAUGGGAGUACAUUACAUUGCAGGAUUGAGAAUGGUGGUUGGGUGUGAGGUAACCUCUGUGUCUGCUAUAACCUCUCAUGUAGAUACAACUUUGCCUCCACCGGACAAUAUAUCCUCUAUUUUUGAAUUGGAAAACGGUUGCGCUGGGGUGUUUGUAAUGGUCGUAUCGUCAAGAUCUCCCAAGAUAUUCUGGAAAGUUGUCGGCACAAAAGGAUCUCUGCAGGUUGAGCGUGGCAACAAAGAUGGCAGACAUGGUUACACGGUCUUGCAUUACACAGUUGAUGGACAAUGCAAAAGCUCCUUUCACCCAUUUAGCGGGGUUAAUGAAGAAUUAAAAGCUUUGGUGUACGAUAUUUCUCAGUCAACCCUCAAGGGAACUAGACAAGACCAAGACUAGUUCCAUUCUCUCUCUCUCUCAAAAAAGAAAGAGAAACCAUGCACCUGAAUGAAAGUAAAUUUUCUAGGACGUGGGUGACCAUGAAGCUGAACCUCGCAGUUCUUUUGUUGAAGGUGCAAGAGAUAUUGCAGUUCUUGAAGCAAUGCUUGAAUCCGGUAUGAAGAAGGGAGCAAAAGUUAAUGUGAGAAAGUUUUGAGUUAAUAAAGUCUGGUCAAAUUGCUAUUGAGCUAAGGACCUUCUUUUGCCUUAAAGCUGGAUAAUCUGUCGAGAAAUUUGUAGGAAUUAUAUAGAACAAAGAGUUGCUAUGGAGCUGCUAAAAACAGUUUAAUUGUUUAGCGAUAGUAGGUUUUCUUACAUUUAUUCCAUCAACCAAGAGUUGUGACGUGAAUAAUCAAGUGAUUGAAGGUAAAAUAUGGCUACAAGUGCAUCAACAUUAUUUUGA